GAGUCGAGGCGCUUGGCGGAGAAGAGCUCCGUGAGGCAUAUCUUCCUCGCCUGCCGCCAGUACGGACCGUACGGGGACCAAGUGAUGUCGGAGUAGUUGUAGGUCGUGUACUUGCCCGCCGCCGUCCGCGGCCGCGAGGCGAAGACGAGGUCCUGCGUCUUCAAGAACUCCCUCGCCAUCUCCACCGACGAACCCACCACCACCCGCUGCGAUCCCAGGUAGAGCUGCAUGAUGGGGCCGUACUUCCGGAAGAGCUCGUGGAUUGACCUGUGCGGCAGCUCCCCGAUCAGGUGCAGGCUGCCGACGAUGGGCCACGGGCGGGGGCCCGGCGGCGGAGGAGGCCGCCUCCGCCGGUGGGGAGCCAAGAGGGCUCUCAAGAUGGCGGCGGAGGCCAGCAGCGCCGCCGCGUAGAAGGCCCAGGUUGGGAGAGCGCCGCCGUCCAUGGCCACCGUGGAAGUCUCAGUUGUGGGGGGGGGGGGGAGGGGAUGCAGCGGCGGUGGUAGCGGUGGAUCAGUGUGUGGAUAAGGGGGAACGAUAGCAACGGUCACAAUUCAGAGAGAGAGAGAGAGAAGAGAGGUUGGGAAUAUAUAAAAAGAAGAAAUCACGAUGGAGACUCCAGACUGCGGGAAGCCAAUAGAAAAUCGUUGACUUCGACAAAUCCCUAUACAUACCAACAUCGCAGAGGACACCACCUUCACUGAGCUUUUCCCACCUAAUUUAUUUUGAAAACGUCUGGCUAUUACUAUUCUUUAACUUUGACAGGAACUUGAAAGAAAGCAACCGUCAUAAUCGACCAUUUAUAAAAAACAGAUGGCAAACAUAUUAUAUGUUAUGGAAUACCUAAUCUGUAUUACAUGAUCUGAGUUCGUCGACCAUCGUCACUCCGGGUAUUGCGAGAGAGACGCCAGUUCACGCUACCAUAAGAAUCUAUUGAGUUUUGUUAUCUGGGAUCCCGUAGGUUGCUCGGGCGCAGCAAGUCCAUGGUCUACGUCGGCUCAUUUGUGCACCUCCCGGAUAGAGAAGGAUUGGAGGUGGAUAGCUUGGGCUGUUUUUCAGAAAAAGUCUAGAAAGAGGACUAUUAUACAUCUCUCUCUCUCUCUNNNNNNNNNNNNNNNNNNNNNNNNNNNNNNNNNNNNNNNNNNNNNNNNNNNNNNNNNNNNNNNNNNNNNNNNNNNNNNNNNNNNNNNNNNNNNNNNNNNNNNNNNNNNNNNNNNNNNNNNNNNNNNNNNNNNNNNNNNNNNNNNNNNNNNNNNNNNNNNNNNNNNNNNNNNNNNNNNNNNNNNNNNNNNNNNNNNNNNNNNNNNNNNNNNNNNNNNNNNNNNNNNNNNNNNNNNNNNNNNNNNNNNNNNNNNNNNNNNNNNNNNNNNNNNNNNNNNNNNNNNNNNNNNNNNNNNNNUAUUAUACUAUCUCUCUCUCUCUCUCUCUCUCUCUCUCUCUCUCAAUAUAUAUACAUAUAGACAUAUAUAUAUAUAUAUAUAUAUCUUUACUAGAGGAAAAAAGGAAGGAGAUGGACAGAGGGAGUUUCCUGUACCUCGAUGGAGAGAGGGGAAGAGGAGCGGAUCAGACUUCCUCAUUUCUCAUGGAUAUUUUCUUCCCAUUAUAUAGGGACAGGUCCUUACAUCAUAACCCUUAAUAUGCCUCAAGAUGGCUUUAGAACAGGUCAGCUCAUGUAGUAGAAUAAAUAGGUUAUUGAUUAAUAUAUUGGUGGUGAACAUGAUGUCACUUAAUAUGCCAUCUUGAUCGCACUGUUAAUGAACACAUCUUCAUGAAUGCUGACAAAAUGCUGUCAAUCAACCUCAUCUUGAAGAUAAAUAUGCCAUCACACAAAUUAGACAGUUUGACAAAGAUGAAUUUACCAUAUAAAUUCAUAUACAUUCGCCGCACUCAAGACCAAAGGGCUGUAAUGCUGUUGAUGAACACUCUACCCCUUGGGAGUAGAGGGGAGAUUGGUGGAGCCAGUGACUAAGCUCCACCAGUGAUAGAUGUGGCAACUGGUGGAGCUAGUGACCAGGCUCCACCAGCGAUGGACGUGACAACCACUGCUGAAGGACCAGACAAAGCCCGUCAACACAGCUGGGAUGGAGGAUUCGUUCAAUCCGUCACAUCAUCAAUGGUUUUAUAAAAAGAGGGAUCCGAAUUUCUAUUUUUAGGCAAUUAGUUUCCUGAUUUAUAGCAGUUUCUCGUUGAAGCUCAUCUUCCUCCAAGACCUAUAAAAAGGGCCAUUGUUGUAAGCAUUGGACAAUGAAGUAUUUUGGGAGUUUAUGCUUCUUGAUAUUCACUCCCAGCGCCAACUGUCACUGCCACCACUACCACCGCCUUCGUUGUCAUUGGGCUUUGUAUCUCUUGCUAUCUUUGGGUUUGUGUCACCCCCACCACCAUCUCUAUCGCCAUUCCUUUGUGCGUUCACCUCCUGCACUAUUUUCGUCAUCCCCGUGCACUACUACCUCCUAUGCCGCCCCCACAUCCUUUUGUGUGGGAUCCACCACCCUCACAUACUGUUGUGUCCCCAUGCACCACCACACCCAUAUGCUUGUUGAGCCACACUUGCCACACCCACACACUCCACCAUGUCCGUGCAACCGAGAGCAUGCAUUGGUUUCGCUUUUGUUCUCAGUGGCUCAACCUUAAUUGCUCUAUGUCACCCGCCAUCUUAUUAUCUCUUCAACACCCAUCGCACCUCCUCUGUGCUGAAGGUACACUCUCCCCUCACUCCUGAUAUUAUAUUAUCUCUUCCAAUAUUUUUCAUUAGUGUUGUUACUAUCGUCAAAAUAAUUGCAUAGGCUAAUAUUAUAGGAUUGUGAUUUCUUUAUGUAAUUUUAGAGUCAGCAUCUUGAACGUAAAACUUUGUGUUGUCUUGUGGUUCUCUAGGCAAUUCUCUGACCCUCAAGUGAGGAUGGGGCUCCCACCCUCAUUACUCUCUCCGGACUUUAUAUAUUCUAAUCGAUCUACUUGUCCAUGGCUUGAUAUUUAUUUCUCUUAAGUCAUAUUAAGAUUCACACCUAUUACUUUAUAGUCAUCCUACAUCAGAGAUGUUGAACUAUCCCUCCUUGUCUUCUUCUAAUACCCCAUGUUAUGGUGGUAGAAUGGAUGAGAUGAGGCUUUGUGACAAAGAUAAAUUAUCCUUUGGAGUGGAAUCUUAUGUUGGAGUAGAUGUGGAGAUGCCAAGAGAAGCUCUAGGGCAGCAGAAACCCUUGACAUACUCUCAAAUUUUUCAUCGAGGAAGACAUUGAUGACGAACAUGUUGCUGGUUAAUAUGAUAAUUUCGAAAUUAGAAAACGAGAUGAUGACAAUGGAUAUUAUAGGGGAGACAACGAAGGUUUUCUCAUCAUCCUCCUCUAAUAUGCCAGCGUCCUUGUGACCACAAGACUAGUGAGCUUGAGAUGAAGCCAAAGGAGAUGAAAAUAAGAGAAGGUGGAGAUGGCGAAGGAAGCUCUAAUGCCCUAGUACCUUGUUACAACUAGAAAAAAGGAGAUGGAAGGGUGGUAGGAGCAAUAGAUGAAACUUUCUUUUUUUUAUUUAAUUUUUAUCUUCUAUUAUCCUACACCAUAAUUCCUAAUAUGCCCUUAGGCUACAUCAUAAUACUAUGUGUGUGUGUCUCUCUCUCUCUCACUCUCUCAAUUCGAGCACCUAUUAAUUGGAGUGGAUAUCUUUUAAGAUGAUUCUAAGCUCAAGGCUAGCCCAAGACACCUGAUGAGAUAGAUGAACAUACUGAUUUUUGUAAAAUGACACUUUCUAAUUGGAUAGGCCUCAAGAAUAUACAUUUGUUAGAAUGACAUGUAUAUAAUUGGUAUCUUUCAAUAUUUUUCCUAUAAAUAUGAGUAUGUGAACAUAAAAGCCUACAAGUGGGUUCUCAAAAAUAGCUAUUAUACAUUCCUUUUCCUCUCUUACAACAUGUCACCUCUAUUUAGUGGCUUACCUCAAUUCACUGCCACUUCAUCUUGACAUCAUCUUAACUUGUCAUGGCCUCAUCUUGCACUAAUCUAAUAAGUCUCUAGCUCAUGCUACUACCUUGCUUGGUAGCUUCACAUUAUUGUUUUCAAUCUACCAAGGUUCAUGUUCCUCCCUUGAUUUCCUUCUUUUCUUCAUCUUGAUUCAUCCUCACCUAGUCCUUCUUCAAUGUAUUUAAGUAUGAUUCAAUAUUGAACAUAUUUAUCCAAUGAGGUUCUCCCAAUUCAUUAUCUUUUGUAUAUGUUACAAUUUUUCAAUUAAACUAUAACCUAUAUUAUAUGAGUCAUAUUUUACAAGUAAAUAGUAUAGUUAAAGCAUUCUUAAUAUCAACAAUUUUAUAACUAUUGGCUGGUUAUUUGUAUGAGAAUAGGAAAAGAGAGCAUAAACAUGUCCUUAAUAGACUCCACUACUCCUAUCUCACAAUUACUGAUGAGGGCUAGAGAAUCUAUAAUGUUUCAAACACAUUUUCAAAUUACUCUUUAGAAGUUGAUUGAACAUAAUUUUCCCAUAUGCGCUACCACAAUACAAUUAUAUAUUGGACCUCAAGAUAAUAUUAAAUAUAUUUGUGAUAUUAUCAUUAAAGUUCCUUCCAUGAACUCAAGCUAUAAAAUAUAGUUAUGUGAAAGUAGUUUGGCCAUAUAAUAAUUCUUGAGCUCAAUCAAUAUAAAUAUACAACAAAUGAUCAUACAUAAAAUAAUUAUUGAUAGUGUUUGGAAGAUAUUAGAACCAACAUAUUAUCAUAUACAAAACAUGAAUCAUAGUUAUCAAUUCAGUAACAUCAUUUAUAAAAUCAAAUAAAGAAUGGUGGAAGUUACCCAAUAUUUUAGUUCCUUGAAUAUUAUGUGAAAUGAAUUAAACUCAUAUGAUUAAAACCAAUUCCCAACUAUAGAAGAUCAAAAGCAAUACAUGAAAACAAUUAAUCUAAAUAGAAUAUUUAGAUUUUUAACUAUCUUGAACCAUGAGUAUGAAGUGUUAAUGGGUUAAAUUUUAAAUAUAAAGCAUAUUCCAUCUCUUUAAUAAAUUUUCUAUGAAGUGUUGUGUUAGUAGAUAAGUAAGUUAGUUAUGACCAAUUUUUAUCAAACAAUAUAAAUUAUAUUGAAGGAACACUUAGUUUUGAUUAGCAUUGUUGAAAAAAAAGAUUGUCAAAGGUCAACAAGAAAGUAAUUCAAGAAAAGAGUAUAGGCAUUGUUUUUGUACAAAAUCAUUGCAUAGAUUAUUAUUGAGAACCACAUCCACAUAAAAGUUUCAUAUGUUAUCUUAAGCCAAGUCAACAACUAAGACAACCUCAAAUAAUAUACCUCAUUUAGGUGGCUCUAUAUCCCAAUAUCAAGAGAUAUCACAAAAUAACAUAAGACCUGAAGGACUGUUAAAAGAGAGGCAAAUAAAAAAGUAAUCAAGUGCAACAUAAGUGUCACCUUAUAGUCAAUGUACAAUGCCUCAAUUAUUGACUCUAGGACGUCCAAACAUUUGAUUGAUACUUCACCCUUCACAUAGUAUUACCUUCGAUCAAGUAGAAAUAAAGUGACUAUAAUUGAUGGGCAUUAAGUAAUAUUGUUAACAAAGGUUUUAUCAAAUCAAAUAAUGACAUAUCCCUACCUUUGGCCCUUCAUGUUCCUUCUCUUUACAACAACUUUCUUUUGUAACUUUAAUUAUAAAACAAAAAAAAUCAUUAACUUUCCAUCCUUAAUAUUAUGUACUUCAUAAUUUGAAGAAAAAUAAUAAUUGAGAAUAAAUGUGAGACUAAUGAAGUUUAUCUUCUUCAGCCUCAAAUAGGAAAACAUUAUAAUCACAAUUUAUUUAAAUAAUAGACCAGAAACUACAAGAUAUCUACUUGUGGUACUUUCGCUUAGGCCAUCUAUCUUUUAAAACUAUGAACACAAUUUUACUUAUAAUUUCUAUGUCAAUUGAAAUUAGUUUUCUACAUUGUCAAAUUUUUCCACUUAUAAAAUAAUGUAAUGUUCCAUUUUCUUCUUUAAAGAUUAAAAUCAUGUCUUCUUUUGAUACGGUGUAUUAUGGUGUUUCGGGUACACCCCUUAUCACCUCUAUGGAUAAAUACUACUAUUUUUUUUUACUUUAUUGAUGAUUUUACCCACUCAAUAUAGCAAAUGCCAUGGAAGGAAGAAGUAUUUAUGGUAGCCCAAAUCUUCUUAUCAUGAUUAGCACUUAGUUUAGCAAAAUAUGUGAAAACAUCCCAUUUAGACAAUGGUAGAAAAUGUUUCAAGCAAAACAUCAACAUUUUAUGAAAAAUAAGGAAACAUUCAUAAAUCCCAAUGUUUUUAUACACCCCAAUAAAAUAAUGUGACUGAAAAGAAGAAUUGACUUCUUUCACAAAUCACACAAGUCCUACUAUUUUGAAGUAACAUGGUUGAAAGUUUUUAGGUUGAAGUUUUACUAACUAUAGUUUAUUUGAUCAAUAAGAUGUUGUCUACCACACUUAAUGGCUAGGCCCCAUAUCAACUCUUAUUUCUUAUAUAACUACUAUUUUCUCUCUGGCCUAAAGACAUUCAAGUGCAAUGUUAUAUUUAUCUCUUUGACACAAACAUUAACAAACUAGACUCUAGAUACUCAAAGGUGUUGUCCUUGACCAUUCACCUACACAAAAAAAUUAUAAAUGUCUUGUGUAUAGCAAAAGUAUCAAUUGCAUAUUAUGUUUCUUCUCCUUUGACCUGCCACCUCUCCUUAGAGUUGAACUUUGACUUUUUAUUCUCACCUUCUUGCUAACUUGCAUUAUCAUUGUCUUAACUCCUUGAUGUCUCUCUCACCUCAUUGUGAUCUCAACUCACUUCAUCAUUGUCCCACAAAAGUUUCAACUUUUAGCCACUUUGACUAAUCACUACCUUUUCUUAGAGCUUUGCAUUCACACUUUUAAUCUCUCAAGGGUUCACAUUCCUCUCUUGCAUUUCUCUUUUCUUCAUCUCAAUUCACUCUUUACUCACCACUCUUCAAUAUUGGAAUAUUAGAGCUAUAAUAUAUAAAAGUACAAUCCUUGUCUCAUUGUUGACUUUUCUUGUCAUGGCCUCAUCUUGCUUCAGCCUUGACUCACAGCCACUGCAACUUACUGCCACAUUUUCUCAGAGCUUUGCAUUCUUGUUUUCAAACUCCUAGGGGUUCACAUUCCUCUCUCUCCUUCCUCCUUUCUUUGUCGUGAUUCAUUCUCAGUUAACUCCUCACUAAUAUUGGAAGACUAUAACUAUAAAAAUAUAAAAAUACGACAUACAUUCUUUGCACUUGUAGAGUUGUGAUUGGGGUGCUUAUAGACUAUGAGAGAGAGUUUCAAAUUUUUUGGGGGCAGAGAAAGAAAGAGAUAGAGAGAUAGAUAGAUAGANNNNNNNNNNNNNNNNNNNNNNNNNNNNNNNNNNNNNNNNNNNNNNNNNNNNNNNNNNNNNNNNNNNNNNNNNNNNNNNNNNNNNNNNNNNNNNNNNNNNNNNNNNNNNNNNNNNNNNNNNNNNNAGAGAGAGAGAGAGAAGUGGCAUCAAAAGAGUUUCAAUUCAUAUAACAAAUCAAUGGCCAAUAUAAAUUUAAAAUGUUUAUUUAAAUUAAUUUUAUUGUACCUAUGAAGAUUCUAAUCAUAGAAUUUUGAUGUGUUAAUCAUGAGAUCAAUGGACUACUAUUAGCCUUAAAUGAAUGGAACAAUCACACCUAGUUGAGACAAUUUUGGUAUAUAUAGUAGAGAAGGUGUUGGCUUCUAGGAGCCUUAUAGUAAUGAUAAUAAAAAAAAUAGAUAUUUGAAAAAAUAAUAAUUUUACUUUGAGAAAAUUAUAUUCACAUAUUAAAAUAAUAUUGAUAAAAGAUUUUAUUAACCAUUAAAAAAAUUGGUGACAAGAUGAUGUUGUUGGUUUUUUAGCUACACUUACAUAAAGAAAGGAGGGUUGAAUUGAUCAAAUCUUAUUUUUGACUUUUAGUUUAGUCUUCUAAUUUCUUCAUUCUCCUUCUUCCAAUCUUAAAUCCUAUAAUCUUCCUAUAACAAAAAUUCUGAAGCACUCAAAGAUUUUUAUUGUGGUUCGACAUCCUACCUACAUCCACUUAUUGAAAACACUACAUCCAUGAUUUUCACCAAAACAACCUAUUUAGGAAAGCACCAUUUGAUUAAUGGAUUAACUUCCCACAAAAUUGUACCUCAAUCUUUUUCUCUAGAUUUACUAUUAUAUGAGGCUUACUACUAAUUAUAGUGAACAACACUCUUGAGUGAUUACAUAAAUAUUAAUCACCAGUUUCUCCCACCAAAAUAAGAAAGAGUUUCACUUUCAAUAUUUUCUAAGUGAUAGCAUUGACACAAAGUGUUUAUAGAAAUUUGAUCAAGAGGAUGAUGAUCUAGAAAUUCUUUUUGGGUGAUUGUUGAAGGUUUUUUCAUUUAAAUCUGGUAAAUCACAUAUGACUUGAUUUUGAUUUCUUUACCCAUUCUCUUCUUGUCAUUUGACCCAACAAGAUAGGCCACUCAAAUUCACAAUUAAACAUUUGUAUAAAAUGUCAAGAAAGAAAUAAAUUCAAGAUUCUAGAGAAGUGAGAGAUAAUCAUUAGUCACACAUUAGGCAAUUUAGAGGUAUUGGAAUUAUAAAGAAAUAACAUUCGAAAACCUCCCUUAUUUUUCACCAUCUCUCAAGUCAAUACACAACCAUUAAGUGGCAAUACAUAUAUCCAGAGAUUAUUAGUUCAAACAAGUUUCAUACAGAUCUAGUAUCAUUGAAAUAUAAUCAAUAUUAAAUAUUAAAAAAAUAAAAAGUUCACAAUAAAAACUUAUCGAUUCAACCCAAAUAAAUGUUGACUAUCAAGUAGACACAUUGAAUAAUGAUCUUAAUACGUAAAAUCAUAACUUAGAUGAUAUAUAAUAUUUUAGAAUAUUUUUCUAAAUAAUAUUUAUUAAUAUAUAAAAAAUAUUUAGUAGUAUGAGCGGUUGAAAUUUAUUGAGUUAAUUUGAUAGUAAAAAAAUUAAUAGUAAUGAUUUAUCAUCAUGAAUUCUCAUUGAUUCGCAUAUGCAAAUCAUUACUUUCUGACAAUGGCAAUCUUUGUACAUAUUAAUGAUUUCCACAACAAUAUAUAACAUAAUAAUUUCAAAUGAUAAAAUUCAAAAAAUUUCAUAACUCCUCAUUAUAGGUAAUGAAUAAAAAAUUAUUUGAUUCCUAUUUAGAUAUUUAACAUUAUUAUUUUUAGUAAAUUUAUAUUCAAUUACAUUCAAGUUCAUAUCUAAAAUUUAUUAAUCAUGAAUCAAUUUCAUAGUCAAUAAGCAGCAUUGGUCAUUUUAAUUGGUUUUAUAUGUGUUUAUCAUCAUCAAAAUAGUAUUCAUUCAAUGCUACAAUAAUCUUCUCUUUUUGGUGAUGACAUAAUCAUAAGAAUAUGCGAUGAAGAUGUAUUGAUUAGGAUUUUUUAAAUUUAAAAUUUUAAUAGUAAUUUUAUAAGUAUACCUAUUCAGAAUUUAAUUUAUGACAUAUGGUACUCUUCUAGAAGAUAUUCAAGCCAUAAUUAAAAUUCAAAAAUAAAAUUUGAAUCUGAAAAUUAAUUUCAACUAAAGUCACCAUACGCAAAAAAAAAAUUAAUAAUUUUUUUUUCAUACUUUUCUCUCCUCUCUCUACAAUCUCCUUUUUCUCUACUCUAUCCCUCUCAUAGCGAUCUCUCCCUUUGGAAGUUCAAGGCUCUCCCUAACUUCCAAAGCUCCUUUUUUGCAAGACAUACCUUUUCUCUCCCUUUUUUUCAUCAUCAAAAAUAUGGAGAAAUUUAUAAGUUGCUCCAAUAAUGGUGCUCAAAUAGUGUCAUUUUGUAUUUCAUGGCAUCAUAAUUAUGAUGUUAGUGGGCAUUCAAUUAAAGUGAAUUCACAGGAAGAAAGUUCAAAAUAAAUUUGGUGACAAAUUUAUUUCGAGCAGCCUAUCUAUUAUUUGAUCUAAAAAAUCUAUGUAAAGUGUUAAAAAUUCUAGAUGAAUGAUGACAAGUUUGAUUGGAAGGAAGUGAACAUGAUUUUGAAGAAAAUUGGGUUAAAGAUCAUGGUCUUGAAAAUAAAAUAUUUCAUGUGAAUAAAAAUGUAGUAAAAUAUGAACUAAUCAUUGUUUGAGUUAAAAAUAGGGCUGCGGUUUUGAAAUUUCAAAUAUACUUUCAAAGGUUUGGCUUUGAGACAUUGCUUAGCUCUUAGAAAACAUAAAAGGUAAGUUUUCAUGCUUAGAGUCUAAUUUAUAAACAGAAGUUGGUCUAAAAGUUAGAAAUCCUAUGGUUCAAAUUUAAUCUCAAGGAUUGAAGACUUUUUAAAAUUAAGGUCAUUCAUGAGUGAAACAAGGAAUAGACCAUGCGGAUCAAGUUUCACUCUUAGACAUGACAUAGGUGGUCAAGAUUUUAUCAAAAAGAAUUUGGAUUCCUAAUGCUAUCUAUCAGACUCUAAGGCUGAGUAGAAAUGGUUGAAGUGAGAAUUGGGUGAAUUAGAAAAAGUCAUAUUGUAAUCUAAAAUUCAGUCUUCCUAUUUGCACUUCAAUUUAUUGAUUCCAUAGACUCUUCAAUCAUUGUCAAAAUUAUUUAAAAAUGGAUCCUAAAUUUCCUCUGAAAUACUCCUCUCUUUAUCAUUCAUGUAUUCUACAUCUCACUAGUUUCCUAUUUUUUAAUUUUCUAAUUUUUUAAUUUGAUGAUUCAUCACAAAUCAUAUAAUUCAAAAUAAAUGAAUAAUAAAUCAUAUACACGAAUUAUCAAUCAUCAUUAAACCUUUUAUCCAUAACAUACAAUAAAAUAAAAUUUUAAAUAAAAGUUUGAAUACUUUUUAAAAAAUUAUAAUCAGCUUAAUAACUUAAAACUAUUUGUUAAAUAUAUCAGCUAAUUUCUAAAGAUUUAGGUUAUAAAAUUGAAGAUAAUAUCAUUUAUAUUUACAUGAUCAUGAAUAAGAGGAUGUUUGAGAUAUAUAUAUACAUAUAUAUAUACAUAUAGAUAUGUAUAUAUGCUUGGUUAUAAAAUAAAUGAUGAGAUUCUUUAUCAAAUUAAUAAAACUAAUAUUUUCACAUGUAGUUAUUUUUUCCUAAGACAAACACAAUCCUUAUAUUGAUAUUUAACUCAGUAAAUUUAUGUGCAACAUAAUCUAAUGGUUGUGUGUUCAAUUUCAUCUAUUGACAGAUCAAAAAUGACAUAUUUGUUUGAUACCAAUGAAAUUUAGCAUCCUCUUAAAAUCAAGUAUGACCCAAUUGUGCUUUUCUAUUAAUUUGUAUUUUUAGUUAAAUAAGAAUUGAUGUAAGAAACUUGGUUUAUGUCACACUAAGUUGGAAGAUAAAUUCCUAAAUAAAAUGUACGUGUAAUAUAUCUAAAAAAAUUUAUAGUAAUUAUGUGAUUCAUUCAAAUUACUUUAGAAUCUAGCUUAUAAUCAAAUAACGCAAAUUUUUUCCUUCCUCUAUAUAUAUGAUCUACCAAUUUUCUAUUCCUAUCAAAAUCAACUUUGACCUUACUCUCCAUAAGUGUUUUUUUUCUUUUAUCCAGAAAGAUCAUAAUUUUUUAAUAACUUUAUAACAUGUUUAAUUUUAGAGGUUAAUAUUAUAUAUUCCAAUUAUUUGAAUAUAGUCCAAGAAAAUAACUAAGUUCACCCAUCAUACUGAUCUCAAAUUAAUUCUUCAGUCUUCUAAAACAGUUCAUAAAAAUUUUCAUCUAAAGCUCUGAAAAUUAUAUGAUUGACAUAUACGUGAAUAAUAAGUGUAUCUUGAUUAUUUUUUUAGUAAAUGUGGUAUCAAACUUUCUAGAUAAAACCUAUUUCCUAUAAAAAAAUGAUUUCAACCUCAUUGCUGCCCUUGGUUUUGAUGAUUAAAAAAGAAGUUUUAUUUUAAUAAUUCAUAUUUUAGAUAGCAAAAAGAAGAAUUUGUGUUUUGAUUCAUAUGUUUGGGUUAUAAUUGAUGUUAAGUAUUCAAAAAUUUGAUCAUGCUAAUCACAUAUUGAAUUCUUAGUCUAGUUACAAUGAUUUUGGUUCUAACAAGAUUUUCAAUCAUUAGAUUAAAUUUUUUUAAUGUUACUUCUAUCAAAGAAAUACCUAAAGUAAGUGUUAGUAACUAAGGUAAGAUCUACAAACAAAACAUUGAAUAUACGUUAUUUAGGGUUAUAUGGUAUGAGUCGAAACAUUGUAAUAUAUGAUCCAUGGGUCAACACAUUUCAUUGGGAUUAAAUUUGUGAUGAUCUAACCAUCAUCUUUUAGUGUUUAUCUAUUUAUUUUAUUUUCACAUGAUGUUAGAUAUAUUCUCCAAGCUAUCACAGGUAUUAAAAUUAACAAGAGAAACAAAAGCAGAUCAAAAAUUCAACUUUUGAAAAUUUUAUCUCAAUAGUGACACAUUAAAAAAUUACAUGGAUAAAAAUUCAAAUAAAAUCAAAUGAUCUAGAAGUAUCCUAAAUACUAGGGUAUUCUCCAUCAAGUUAUAAAGCUAUAAUUCAAAUUUGAAUUCAAAUGACCAUAAUAAUUAGAAAAGUCAAAGAUUGUAAGGUAUACAUGUAAAAACCACAUAUUCUGGUAAACAAUAGAACUUUAGCAAGUCAGCUCGAACAUUGAAAAAUCAAGAAAAUUGAAAAAGUAGUACAAGAUGAAAUCAAACUUAUAAGAGGAGGGUUAUGUACUGAGUUAUAGCUAACACACUUAGAUAUUUAAUACUCUCCAGCAAGAUCUUCACAUUGUACAUUUCAAUGAUGAAUAAACUGCAACAUCAUCUUCAUUAGCUUGAUGCUUUCCAUCUGUGUCCUAAAGUAAUUGAGUUAUGAGAGAAGAGUGAUUUUAAUGUAAGUACACUGUGCUUGUAUCUUUUGCUGUCACAAGAAGUACUAAUGUCUUGAAAGGUAUUUCCAAAGACUAACUUGAUAUUUUGGUCAUUUAUCUCAUUAAGCUAUGUAUUCUCCAGAAAGAUAGUCAAAUCUAGAGGAUAGGUUCUUCUAAGACUAUAUGUAGUUGGGUGAGGUGCGAAUCAAUUUAAAAAUUCCAUAUUCUUGAUGAAACAUUGAUGCAGUCUUACUACUACAAAUAGUACUUCCCAUGUGUGUAGGUAUACAUACCCUUUUAGUUGACACAUUAUUUGUGUCAAUACAUUAAUCAAUAUGUGUAGGACAUAACUUUAGAAUACAGAAAAUGUCAUAAUAUCUAAAAGUAAAAAUCAACAGCUAUACUAGUGUUUCAAUUAUUCAUACAAUUCCAAGAAUCCUUUCAUAUCCAACUCUCAUAGGUAUUUAGAAAAGUAUUAUUUAGAUCUCUAUGAUAUAAAAUGAUAUUUUUAUGACAUGUAUAUGCUAACAUAGUUCUAAUUACAUAUAAUCUACACAUUUGUGCAUAGUUUUCAUCAUAAGCUAUUCCUAUUAUUUGACUAUAUUCAUGUGCAUCAGCGUGGUCUCAUUCUUAAUAAUAUUUAUUUCAUCAUUUAACUUAUUUAUGAGAACCCACUUUUUUUGUAUGAUGGACAUUCAUAUUUUUAUAAGUAAUAAAGUACAAACUUUACAUUUUGAAAUCGAUUUAAUUAUUUUAUCAUAGAUGAAAUCAAAAUUUAAUAUUUUAAAGCUUCUUCAACAUUUUUGGGAAGAUUUCAAAAACUAAUCACUCAAGCUUUCUGCCAUGUCAUUACCGUCUCCUGAAAUUUGAUUUGGCGAAUGCCUCUUAACAUAUUUCUAUUAUCAUAGAAGAGUUCUCUUUUUUGAAUUUUCCUCUAAUUUAGGGAGCCUUGCAUUAUCAUUCAUUUAAAUUUCUUGAAACUAACCCUCUCAUUAUUCAAUAUUAUCUUUAAUAUGGAUAUUUUUUAUAAUUAUCCUCAACAAAUUUCACAUUAAUUAUCUUCUCAAGGACUAUUGUCCUUUUAUUGCGAACUAUAAUGCUCUUGAGUUUCUAUAAUAACCAAGAAAAAUUACUUCGCAACUUCUAUUAUCAAAUUUUCUUAUUCAGCCUCCGAAUAUUCAUGAAAAUAAAGUAUGUAGAACCAAAUAGUAGAAAAUACCUAAUAUUUAGUUUCCUUUCUUGAACUACCUCAUGUAGAGUAUUUUUAACGGUAUGUUCAGGAUGAUCUUCGUGAAGUAGUGUAGUAUUCAUUAACUCGCCUCAAACUAAUUAGACAACUUACUUGACCGUACAAAGACGAUCAAAAGGUGCGGAUAACAAGUGGAAAGCACUCAGGGCUUUACCUGAAUACUCGGAUCCUGUGGAUAACACCGCAAAAACAGGGAGAGAAGGGGCCUGCACCUGUUAGCACAUUUAUUCCUCGCCUACACACAUGCUUGACAGCUGUGAUUCCAUCCGAUCAUCCUGGUUCAGAGCCCGUAAAGGUGUCCCGUGAGUCUCGGCUCGGCGACCACCACCAGGGGUAUCUUCUUCGGAGUCGACAGUCCGAAGACCUCCUCCAUGUUGAGCUCCUCCGCCGUCGCCCCUUCCGGCAGCCUCCACCGGAACCCGUGGAGGAGAUUCGCCAGGCUCGACUGGAUCACCUUCAGCCCGAGCGCGUACCCCGGGCACAUCCGCCUCCCCGCCCCGAACGGCAGCAGCUCGAAGUCGUGCCCCUUCACGUCGACGCUCUUUCCCUCGAACCUCUCCGGCCGGAACUCCUCCGGUGAGUCCCACACCGCCGGGUCCCUCCCGAUGGUCCAUACGUUCACCAGCACCUCCGUCCCCGUCGGCACGUGGUACCCCGCCACCGUCGUGUCCUCCCGGCUGUAUCGUGGCACCAGCAUGGGCACCACCGGGUGGAGCCGCAUCGCCUCCUUGACUAUGGCCCCGAUGAAGGGAAGGCUCGGGAUGUCCGUCUCCUCUACCAACCGCUGCCUCCCCACCACCCGGUCGAGCUCCUCCCACGCCUUCUCGAAGAUUUCCGGCCGCCGGAGGAUCUCCGCCAUGGCCCACUCCACCGUCACCGCCGAGCUUUCCGUUCCCCCCGCGAUCAUGUCCUGCAGAUAAAAAUUAAAAUUUGUUCCAUCGAGAGGUUGGAUAUGGCGUAGCAGAGUUUAGGGGAGAACGGGGCCGCACCUGGGUGAAGCCCUUGACGCCGUCUCUGGUGAGCUUGACGUUGAGGCUCGGGUCGUCGGCGAGCUGCAGCAGCACGUCCACCAUGUCGCCGGGGACGAACCCCGGCCCCGCCUGCCGGCGGCGGUCCUCGUGCUCCACGAGGACGUGGUCGAGGAAGGCGUCGAACUUCACGCUCAGGGCCUUCAUUCUCCUCACAUAGCCCUGCAGGUCGAGGAAGUCCAGCCAGGGGAUCAUGUCGCCGAUAUUGAGUACCCCGUUGAGGAGGAACAGCUCGUCCAGCAUCGUCUUGAACUCCUUCGGGGACACCACGUCCGUCCCUGCCUCCUCCCCGAUGUACGUCCUUCCCAGCACCAUCCGGCUGAUCACGCUCAGGCUCAGCGAGGCCAGAUGGUCCUUCAGCAACACGGCGGCACCGCCGGUGGUGGCGCCGGCGAUCCGGGCCAGCAUCCGCCGCGUCUCCUCCACUCUGAUGUACUCGUAGGAGUCGAGGCGCUUGGCGGAGAAGAGCUCCGUGAGGCAUAUCUUCUUCGCCUGCCGCCAGUACGGACCGUACGGGGACCAAGUGAUGUCGGAGUAGUUGUAGGUCGUGCACUUGCCCGCCGCCGUCCGCGGCCGCGAGGCGAAGACGAGGUCCUGCGUCUUCAAGAACUCCCUCGCCAUCUCCACCGACGAACCCACCACCACCCGCUGCGAUCCCAGGUAGAGCUGCAUGAUGGGGCCGUACUUCCGGGAGAGCUCAUGAAUGGACCUGUGCGGCAGCUCCCCGAUCAGGUGCAGGCUGCCGACGAUGGGCCACGGCGGGGGCCCGGCGGCGGAGGAGGCCGCUUCCUCCUGUGGGACGCAAAG
RNAcentral lists this long non-coding RNA (15718 nucleotides) under Spirodela polyrhiza (greater duckweed). RNAcentral describes it as "long non-coding RNA (SPOL_LNC000097)". Lineage: Eukaryota; Viridiplantae; Streptophyta; Magnoliopsida; Alismatales; Araceae. The record is from RNAcentral.